RNAcentral lists this transfer RNA (64 nucleotides) under Leiobunum aurugineum. RNAcentral's name for it is "tRNA-Val". Lineage: Eukaryota; Metazoa; Arthropoda; Arachnida; Opiliones; Sclerosomatidae. The record is from RNAcentral.
CAAAAUGAAGCUUUAAGCCAUUUAUUUACAUUAAAUAGUCCCUAGGAACAUCCAGGCAUUUUGA